AACGAACGCUGGCGGCAUGCCUAACACAUGCAAGUCGAACGAGACCUUCGGGUCUAGUGGCGCACGGGUGCGUAACGCGUGGGAACCUGCCCUUAGGUUCGGAAUAACUCCCCGAAAGGGGUGCUAAUACCGGAUAAUGUCUUCGGACCAAAGAUUUAUCGCCUUUGGGUGGGCCCGCGUUGGAUUAGCCAGUUGGUAGGGUAAAAGCCUACCAAGGCGACGAUCCAUAGCUGGUCUGAGAGGAUGAUCAGCCACACUGGGACUGAGACACGGCCCAGACUCCUACGGGAGGCAGCAGUGGGGAAUAUUGGACAAUGGGCGAAAGCCUGAUCCGGCAAUGCCGCGUGAGUGAUGAAGGCCUUAGGGUUGUAAAGCUCUUUUACCCGGGAUGAUAAUGACAGUACCGGGAGAAUAAGCGCCGGCUAACUCCGUG
This 433-nucleotide ribosomal RNA is filed under the name uncultured bacterium. RNAcentral's name for it is "partial 16S ribosomal RNA". It matches the Rfam family "Bacterial small subunit ribosomal RNA", at positions 29 to 507 of the family's 1533-position model. The record is from RNAcentral.